Molecule: unclassified non-coding RNA, 358 nt
Filed under: Hevea brasiliensis (rubber tree)
Lineage: Eukaryota; Viridiplantae; Streptophyta; Magnoliopsida; Malpighiales; Euphorbiaceae
Source: RNAcentral
GGGAGGGUGUUACAGGUCCUAGGAAAUUAUAAGCUCAACUAUUAAACUUUUGGAUGAAUGAGAGCAGACAAAUGCUAAGCAAGUUGACGCCUAAAAUGCCAACAACCAAGUUCAACACAUCUGCUGGCUAAACCCACAUUGGGCCCCAAAUGUAACCUGAAUGCAAGUAUCUUUCAUGAGUCUUGUAAGACUAGUUAUGACGAUGUUCUAAGGGAUUCGACUGGGUCCUUUGUUUUAAGAAUUUCAGGGUUUCAAACUACAGUUUUCCAACAAAAAAUUAAUGAGGUAAUUAGAUUAGGCAGACACUUACUUGGCUUCACAAUUGUAAUAUGAGAGAUAUAUAGAAGGAGGUUGUUGU